Long non-coding RNA from Micropterus salmoides (largemouth bass), 689 nucleotides. RefSeq lists it as uncharacterized. The transcript has 5 exons. Lineage: Eukaryota; Metazoa; Chordata; Actinopteri; Centrarchiformes; Centrarchidae. The record is from RefSeq and is a predicted model, not a curated record.
CCCUCCAUUUCCCAUGAUUCCCAUCCCUGAAGACAUCAUCAUUAGGUGACCUGAAACAGUGCUAGAAGAAUGGGAUCACAUGCAGGAAACAAUAAAUAUGUUUGACAGACAGGUUUUUGGUUACAAACCAAGCAUUUUUGACCUGAUGAUGGUGCUAGAUAACCAUUCAGUGCAUCACUAGAGUUAUUACAAUUCAUCCUGAGUCUGGACCAAAGGGGCAGAUGGACCACUGAUAGACUGACAUUUCCAUCCACACCACAGCUAACAAAUAUUAGAUAUCUUUAAUGCUUUGAUCAUCUCACCAUGAAACAAAUGUCUCACCUGAGCCCGGAAGCAGCGUCCUGACAUCUCGUCCCUGAGUCCUGAGGCUACGAGAGCUCCGAAAAGUCAGACAGUCAUCAGUCAUACAGCAGGAUGAAGGGGUUGGUGUGAUGACAGCGACGUCUCUCCGGCCCCGGUGCCAUUCCUCCAGCUAUUCCUGACCACAUACAUCUCCUGAAGAAUGAACCAGGUUCACCCGAUGUCAGCUGGGAUUGGCUCCAGCCCCCCGCGACCCUAUAUAUCUCGUCAUGGAGAGAUAAGCCGCUGCACGGCAUGUACCACAGACAAAUAGAAGAAGUGGCUGAUAUCAAGAAAUCCUACCAGUGGCUGGAAAAGGCUGGACUGAAGGACAGCACAGAAGCACUAAU